AUUGUUGGGUGUGCGGAUAUGUAUUCAAUAUCUCCACCAAUGUGUAGUGUGAGUGCAGGCUUGUUUGUUUAUGUUCAACAGACCUAAUUGUAGGCUUAUAUUUGUAACUAUCUUUUCUGAUAACCUGUGUAAUAGGCCAAUUUCGCUCGGGCUCAAGACCAUACAAAAAAUAAAAAAAAAUUAAACAGUUCAUUUACAAAUUAAAACCCAAGACCUUAACCCAAUACAAGCCUAAAUCAGAAACCCUAGCCCAAAAAUUACAAGCCCAACAACCUAAACUAUUUUCAGCAAAAAAAAUAAACCCUAGCCCCUAACCCUCUUCAGCCGCUGCCUCUAGCUGCCACCACGCACGCCACCACCGCCGUACGCCAUCCUCCACGCGCCUAGUACCUGUAGAUAAGACAAAAAGCACAACAGACACAGAGAAAAAAAGUAGCAAAAAACGUUAUAUUUUUCGGCUAUAAAAGCCAUGAUUCAUCAAUGUAUUUUUUGGGGGGAC
Molecule: long non-coding RNA, 499 nt
Filed under: Gossypium raimondii (Peruvian cotton)
Lineage: Eukaryota; Viridiplantae; Streptophyta; Magnoliopsida; Malvales; Malvaceae
Description: long non-coding RNA (GRAI_LNC006221)
Source: RNAcentral